CGGAGCUGGCGGCGUUGCAGAGGAGGCGGCACGGCCGCAGCAGAGCCGGGGCUGAGGGGCACAGCGAGGCUCGGCCGGCGGAGCGGCGGCAUGCGGCGGUGUCGGGGCGCGGGGCUGGCGGCGCUGCCCGCGCUGCUGCUGCUCGUGGCUUCAAGCAGAGCCCAGGUGGAGCAGGAGCCACUUCUGGAGACCACCGAGGGCAACAGCAUCAACAUCACCUGCUCACACCCCAAAAAACUGAUCGGCGAAUACAUCCAUUUCUACCGUCAGCUCCCGGGCCGAGCACCCGAAUUCCUCACCCUCGCUGCUAGAGGCUCCAAGGAGGUGCCGGCCAUAGCGGGAGAGCUGCGGGUGUCGGAAGACCGGCGCUGGAGCGCGCUGCGGCUCGGCUGGCCCCGGCGCGGGGACGCGGCCGUGUAUUACUGCGCGCUGGGCCACGGGCAGAGGAGCCGGGGCUGCGGCCGGGCACGAACCGGCGCGGGCGGGGCCGGGCGGGGCCAGCAGGGGGCGCUGCCGCUCCGGCCGCCGGGCCCCGCGCGGCCCCGCAGCUCCUUCCUCUGCCCCGAGCCCGCCCGCACCGGCCCCGCACGGUCUGGCUGUGCAGCAGAGCUGGCCGUUCCAGCUGCGGAGGUGAGGACUCCACUGCGAGCUGAGCGGGAACAGCCCCUUGCCAUGAGCGAGGCCCCAGAGGCACGGAAUGCUCCCGGUGCCGACGGCUGA
Lonchura striata (white-rumped munia) is the source of this 720-nucleotide non-coding RNA. The record is from the annotation of a RefSeq genome assembly. Lineage: Eukaryota; Metazoa; Chordata; Aves; Passeriformes; Estrildidae.